This 231-nucleotide unclassified non-coding RNA is filed under the name Hevea brasiliensis (rubber tree). The record is from RNAcentral. Lineage: Eukaryota; Viridiplantae; Streptophyta; Magnoliopsida; Malpighiales; Euphorbiaceae.
AAAAAAACAUAUAAUAUUGAUGAAUAUGGGGAUCAUUAUUACUUUAUCUAUGAAGGGAGAUGUAGAACUACAAAGAAUGCUCAAUGGAGAUGAGAAACGAUUCUCAAGAACUUUUAUUAAAUUCUUAGUUGUCAAUAAUAACUGUGAUAAUAUCUAAUAAACCACCUAGAUGACGGGAAUUUAUUGUAUAAUAUUAAUCCUACUACUGGGAUUAGGAAUCCCAAAAUAAGA